Molecule: ribosomal RNA, 240 nt
Filed under: uncultured Lactobacillus sp.
Lineage: Bacteria; Bacillati; Bacillota; Bacilli; Lactobacillales; Lactobacillaceae
Description: partial 16S ribosomal RNA
Rfam family: Bacterial small subunit ribosomal RNA
Source: RNAcentral
UAACCUGCCCAAGAGAUCGGGAUAACACCUGGAAACAGAUGCUAAUACCGGAUAACAACAGAUGAUGCCUAUCAACUGUUUAAAAGAUGGUUCUGCUAUCACUCUUGGAUGGACCUGCGGUGCAUUAGCUGGUUGGUAGGGUAACGGCCUACCAAGGCGAUGAUGCAUAGCCGAGUUGAGAGACUGAUCGGCCACAUUGGGACUGAGACACGGCCCAAACUCCUACGGGAGGCAGCAGCU